UUUAAAUUUAGAGUUUGAUCCUGGCUCAGGACGAACGCUGGCGGCGUGCUUAACACAUGCAAGUCGAGCGAUGAAACUUCCUUCGGGGAGUGGAUUAGCGGCGGACGGGUGAGUAACACGUGGGUAACCUGCCUCAAAGUGGGGGAUAGCCUUCCGAAAGGAAGAUUAAUACCGCAUAAUAUAAGAGAAUCGCAUGAUUUUCUUAUCAAAGAUUUAUUGCUUUGAGAUGGACCCGCGGCGCAUUAGCUAGUUGGUAAGGUAACGGCUUACCAAGGCAACGAUGCGUAGCCGACCUGAGAGGGUGAUCGGCCACAUUGGAACUGAGACACGGUCCAGACUCCUACGGGAGGCAGCAGUGGGGAAUAUUGCGCAAUGGGGGAAACCCUGACGCAGCAACGCCGCGUGGGUGAUGAAGGUCUUCGGAUUGUAAAGCCCUGUUUUCUAGGACGAUAAUGACGGUACUAGAGGAGGAAGCCACGGCUAACUACGUGCCAGCAGCCGCGGUAAUACGUAGGUGGCGAGCGUUGUCCGGAUUUACUGGGCGUAAAGGGUGCGUAGGCGGAUGUUUAAGUGGGAUGUGAAAUCCCCGGGCUUAACCUGGGGGCUGCAUUCCAAACUGGAUAUCUAGAGUGCAGGAGAGGAAAGCGGAAUUCCUAGUGUAGCGGUGAAAUGCGUAGAGAUUAGGAAGAACACCAGUGGCGAAGGCGGCUUUCUGGACUGUAACUGACGCUGAGGCACGAAAGCGUGGGUAGCAAACAGGAUUAGAUACCCUGGUAGUCCACGCCGUAAACGAUGGAUACUAGGUGUAGGGGGUAUCAACUCCCCCUGUGCCGCAGUUAACACAAUAAGUAUCCCGCCUGGGGAGUACGGUCGCAAGAUUAAAACUCAAAGGAAUUGACGGGGGCCCGCACAAGCAGCGGAGCAUGUGGUUUAAUUCGAAGCAACGCGAAGAACCUUACCUGGACUUGACAUCCCUUGCAUAGCCUAGAGAUAGGUGAAGCCCUUCGGGGCAAGGAGACAGGUGGUGCAUGGUUGUCGUCAGCUCGUGUCGUGAGAUGUUAGGUUAAGUCCUGCAACGAGCGCAACCCUUGUUAUUAGUUGCUACCAUUAAGUUGAGCACUCUAAUGAGACUGCCUGGGUAACCAGGAGGAAGGUGGGGAUGACGUCAAAUCAUCAUGCCCCUUAUGUCCAGGGCUACACACGUGCUACAAUGGUAGGUACAAUAAGACGCAAGACCGUGAGGUGGAGCAAAACUUAUAAAACCUAUCUCAGUUCGGAUUGUAGGCUGCAACUCGCCUACAUGAAGCUGGAGUUGCUAGUAAUCGCGAAUCAGAAUGUCGCGGUGAAUACGUUCCCGGGCCUUGUACACACCGCCCGUCACACCAUGAGAGCUGGUAACACCCGAAGUCCGUGAGGUAACCGUAAGGAGCCAGCGGCCGAAGGUGGGAUUAGUGAUUGGGGUGAAGUCGUAACAAGGUAGCCGUAGGAGAACCUGCGGCUGGAUCACCUCCUUUCU
This 1516-nucleotide ribosomal RNA is filed under the name Clostridium botulinum A str. Hall. RNAcentral describes it as "16S ribosomal RNA". It matches the Rfam family "Bacterial small subunit ribosomal RNA". Lineage: Bacteria; Bacillati; Bacillota; Clostridia; Eubacteriales; Clostridiaceae. The record is from RNAcentral.